CAGGCCUGAGCCUCACACCAGCCCCCAGUGGGCACCUCUCUGGGGACAAGGCUAGCUUUCAGCUACAUGCCUGAGAGCGGGCUCCAACUGGCCCAAAUGAAGCUAUUUUCAAGACAAAAGAAUGAAACUUCAAUGACUUUCUUGAAUUUCCUGUGGAUUAUUGGCAUUUUUUUUGUUUAAUAAACUUUUACCAGAGCACUGUAAACAUCCCCAGGGAUAGAAGAACAUUGAAUAUUUGGUCACAAAGAAAGCAUUUAAAUCCAUCCAUGUUUCCCCAAAUUUAACAUUUCAACAUUAAGAAAAAUAUUGAUAUUAUGCUGGUGUCCUACAGAGGACUGUCCAGCAUAGAAAUGGGAGAAUGUUGAAAGGUUCAGCAUGAUUUAUAGGUCACAUAGCACAAGAUGUUACUGAGCUUUUCCAAGGGAAGAAGGCCUUAAAGACAAACUCCUUAGGUAGUGUCCAGGCAGCUCUCUUGUGGGGCUUCUUUUCCUUCAGAAGAGAAAGCUCACAAUGAUAGGGGUAGACACGUGGGUCCCAAAGUGCCUGUUGCAUUCUACAGCAGCACACUAGAACCAUGCAUGACUAGAUACCAGAUUGCAGAAGAGGGAUUCCCUCUCUUGGGUUGUGGGGCUACUAAGCUGUAUGAUUAGGGAGAAGUAGUCUAUUAUGUGGUGUGAUCCAAGGCAAAGAUGCAAACUUGAAAGAUAGAGACGCAUGAGUGAGCCAAUAACUUUGACAACCAACCAGAUGUCACCAUGAUAGCAGCAAAGUGUCACCAGGACACCACUAGUCCUGCUUUGACAUGAUAUUAAAGCAAAUUUGGAGGACUAGAUUCCAGGUGCAUUUGUAUGCCACUGAACUUUAAAAAAUUUAACUUACUUUUUUGGAGUCCACUAUUUAGGCCAUUGGUUUUAGGAAGUUACUUUUUUAGUAACUCAGUCUACUUCCAAAACAUAGCCCAUAAACAUCCUUUGCUAUGUUACCAUCUUGUUCCAUUACAACCUCUGGAGGGUGACAGUCAAUACUCACCAGGUGGCUCAUCCCAAAGGCCGACAGGAUACCUCCAUCUGGAAGAAUAGCUUGGGAGGGGCCCAUUGGCAAAGCCAGGAAAACUAAUAAGGCUGGCACCCUUGGCUGUGGCUCAAAGGUUAAGCGAAGGUUAACUGGGGAUCCCAUUGUUGCUUCUAGACUUUUCCCAGUGACUGAAGAUGUCAUCGUGGAGGGAGGAAAAGCUGUGUAUAUGAUAUACUUAGCCUGUCUUCUAAGGCCCCACGGUUGGCAGCCAUUUUUAUUGGUGACACAGGAAUCAUGUCUUGAUGGACUGAGCAAGAGGAGUUGAGAUCAACAUUCUUCUAUUACCAGACCUUUAAGUAGCUGUCAACUCUCCACCUCCCACUUCUGCUACAAGGUGUGCUAAAUCAUAGGCAAUGACAACUGGAGGCACUGUUACCCCUGGACACACAGCAAGCGUCCUGGAGCCUGGACUGGUUCCCAACUGGUGCUGAGACUUGCCAUAGGCCUGCACAACUCUUCAUAAAGCCUGCCUGCCACAGCUGCCCCCGUGGCGGUGCAUGUCAGGACCGGGUGACCCUGGGACUUAUCCCCCAGGCUUAGCAGAUUCACAGCAGCAGGAUGCCCAGGGGAAGGUGAACUUUCCCACUGCAGAGAGGCUGAGGUGCCUUACACUCUGAUAUGAUCUCUACUACAGAAAAUAGAUGGGAUUGGCUGCAGCUUGAGGCAGGCUGGCAUCACCGUUGUUUACAUGAGUGUGAGCAUGAGAUAUGAGAGCGACCAUUACCAUCCUCAUUUAAGAGCUGAGAAUGUUAGAAGCCCCAUUAACAUUCUCCUCCAGGGAACUGAAUGUUUCCCUCUGAUUUUUAAUCAUUGUUCUUACUACCAACUAGCAAAACAUCAAUAAGCUUCACUCUUCUUGCUUAAGGCAACACUUACACACUUAUUAUUAUGGUAAAUGUCCAGACCCACCUUAGGCAUCUUCCAUUUCCCCUUCUUGAGACUUCUGUUCUGCCUCUCUAUCCCCAGCCUUUCAGCUUUCAGCUCUGGGAUGAGAUUGAGCUUCCCUGCUGUCUCUGGAAUGGCUGGGGACAUCUGACCCUUUAGCAAAGGUUGAUGUCUUGGACUGGUGCAGGGAGAGAUAUUAAUGCGAUGUUCUUCACCAGACUACUUCUCUAUUUCAAUGUCCUCUGCUUUUCAAGCAGACAUAUUUUCCUUCUUAUAUUCUUGCCACAGUGUCCAGUGAAGCAUCCUCUGUAUAUGUUCAGGUAUUCUGAGAACAUGGACAAGAACAUGGAAUUAAACAUGUACAAAUUUUAAGAGGGGAAAUGCUUAUGUUCAAGAAAAUUAAAGAGAGACAGGGAGGUUGAGGAGGCUAGGAAUGUCCUAUGUUCUAGUGCUGGUGGUUUUGUUUCUCUUGUGGUGAAUAUGAUACAGGAUUGACUUAUGCCCCUGGUUUGGCUAUCUUACAAAGAUAAGCCAUUUGUAUCCUGCUAUUUCAGUGAGACUAUUCUAUAUCCUGGUGGACACAAUUGACAUUUCUUGGGUUGCAUAACAAACAUGAAGAUGGUCUUUCAAUGAGAUUCGUGUUGGAAAGCUGAAGGUGCAUCUGGCUGGUUCUUCCCUUGAAGUCUAAC
Heterocephalus glaber (naked mole-rat) is the source of this 2648-nucleotide non-coding RNA. The record is from RefSeq and is a predicted model, not a curated record. Lineage: Eukaryota; Metazoa; Chordata; Mammalia; Rodentia; Bathyergidae.